GACGAACGCUGGCGGCGUGCUUAACACAUGCAAGUCGAACGGAAAGGCCCUGCUUUUGUGGGGUGCUCGAGUGGCGAACGGGUGAGUAACACGUGAGUAACCUGCCCUUGACUUUGGGAUAACUUCAGGAAACUGGGGCUAAUACCGGAUAGGAGCUCCUGCUGCAUGGUGGGGGCUGGAAAGUUUCGGCGGUUGGGGAUGGACUCGCGGCUUAUCAGCUUGUUGGUGGGGUAGUGGCUUACCAAGGGUUUGACGGGUAGCCGGCCUGGGAGGGUGACCGGCCACAUUGGGACUGAGAUACGGCCCAGACUCCUACGGGAGGCAGCAGUGGGGAAUAUUGCACAAUGGGCGGAAGCCUGAUGCAGCAACGCCGCGUGCGGGAUGACGGCCUUCGGGUUGUAAACCGCUUUCGCCUGUGACGAAGCGUGAGUGACGGUAAUGGGUAAAGAAGCACCGGCUAACUACGUG
RNAcentral lists this ribosomal RNA (468 nucleotides) under uncultured bacterium. RNAcentral describes it as "partial 16S ribosomal RNA". It matches the Rfam family "Bacterial small subunit ribosomal RNA", at positions 28 to 507 of the family's 1533-position model. The record is from RNAcentral.